AGGUUUCCGUAGGUGAACCUGCGGAAGGAUCAUUGUCGUUGCCUCGACCAACCAGCGAACCAAUAUCAGUUUGACCUACCUCUGUCCCCGCUGUGCCUCGCGGUGCGGUCGGGUGGCAGACCUCUCUUAACAGAGCAACUCCUGGUGCCCAGCGAGCCAAGGAACUGUAGUCAAUCGGGACAGACGUAGUGGGUGACCCCAACGGGGCUCACCCGCUGUGCGACCGGACAGGACAUCACACAUGCUUUCGUACGACUCGCGGCAACUGAUAUCUCGGCUCUCACAUCAAUGAAGAACGUAGCGAAAUGCGAUACUUGGUGUGAAUUGCAGAAUCCCAUGAACCAUCGAGUCUUUGAAUGCAAGUUGUGCUCGAGGCCAUUGGGGUGAGGGCACGCCUCCCAUCGCUCCCCCCCCCCCAUUGACCCGGAGGGUGACGCAGAGACUGGUCGCCCGUGCUAGAGAAGAUCUCCAUGCCCCAUCGGCCCAAAUGCAGGAAAGCUGCGCGGUUGGGCGCGACGAGUGGUGGUCUGAGCAGAGCUGCGGACGCUGCGCCUACCCGUGCCACACUGCAUGGAAUGAGAGGGGCACAGAUUGCAGGCCGCCGAUGCGACGUGAAUUGAUCGGCGUGCCGGCUCCUGAGCGACGAGCGACCCC
This 654-nucleotide unclassified non-coding RNA is filed under the name Chimonanthus salicifolius. RNAcentral's name for it is "partial contains small subunit ribosomal RNA, internal transcribed spacer 1, 5.8S ribosomal RNA, internal transcribed spacer 2, and large subunit ribosomal RNA". The stretch from base 254 to 409 matches the Rfam family "5.8S ribosomal RNA". The record is from RNAcentral. Lineage: Eukaryota; Viridiplantae; Streptophyta; Magnoliopsida; Laurales; Calycanthaceae.